Molecule: transfer RNA, 67 nt
Filed under: Plegadiphilus threskiornis
Lineage: Eukaryota; Metazoa; Arthropoda; Insecta; Psocodea; Menoponidae
Description: tRNA-Asn
Source: RNAcentral
UUAAUUAAAGCCAAAUUAGAGGCGUGUUGCUGUUAACAACAUUAUUAAACUUUAAGUUUUAAUUAAA